RNAcentral lists this ribosomal RNA (253 nucleotides) under uncultured bacterium. RNAcentral describes it as "partial 16S ribosomal RNA". It matches the Rfam family "Bacterial small subunit ribosomal RNA", at positions 524 to 776 of the family's 1533-position model. The record is from RNAcentral.
UACGUAGGGGGCAAGCGUUGUCCGGAUUCAUUGGGCGUAAAGAGCGUGUAGGCGGCCAGGUAGGUCGGUUGUGAAAACUGGAGGCUCAACCUUCAGAGGUCGACCGAAACCAUCUGGCUAGAGUCCGGGAGAGGAGAGUGGAAUUCCUGGUGUAGCGGUGAAAUGCGCAGAUAUCAGGAAGAACACCGGUGGCGAAGGCGGGUCUCUGGGCCGAUACUGACGCUGAGGAGCGAAAGCGUGGGGAGCGAACAGG